RNAcentral lists this ribosomal RNA (467 nucleotides) under uncultured bacterium. RNAcentral's name for it is "partial 16S ribosomal RNA". It matches the Rfam family "Bacterial small subunit ribosomal RNA", at positions 28 to 507 of the family's 1533-position model. The record is from RNAcentral.
GAUGAACGCUGACAGAAUGCUUAACACAUGCAAGUCAACUUGAAUUUGGGUUUUUACCUUAGGUUUGGGUGGCGGACGGGUGAGUAACGCGUAAAGAACUUGCCUCCCAGCUAGGGACAACAUUUGGAAACGAAUGCUAAUACCUAAUAUUAUGAUAAUAGGGCAUCCUAUAAUUAUGAAAGCUAUAAGCGCUGUGAGAGAGCUUUGCGUCCCAUUAGCUAGUUGGAGAGGUAACGGCUCACCAAGGCGAUGAUGGGUAGCCGGCCUGAGAGGGUGAUCGGCCACAAGGGGACUGAGACACGGCCAUUACUCAAACGGGAGGCAGCAGUGGGGAAUAGUGGACAAUGGACCGAGAGUCUGAUCCAGCAAUUCUGUGUGCACGAUGAAGUUUUUCGGAAUGUAAAGUGCUUUCAGUUGGGAAGAAACAAAUGACGGUACCAACAGAAGAAGUGACGGCUAAAUACGUG